This 72-nucleotide small nucleolar RNA is filed under the name Otolemur garnettii (small-eared galago). RNAcentral describes it as "Small nucleolar RNA SNORD112 (ENSOGAG00000024004.1)". Lineage: Eukaryota; Metazoa; Chordata; Mammalia; Primates; Galagidae. The record is from RNAcentral.
UGGACCAAUGUUGUAAAUAUGUAAUGGACCAUGGAUUAAAAUUAAUCUAUUUCAGUACAACUGAGUUUCAUU